This is a long non-coding RNA of Talpa occidentalis (Iberian mole), 396 nucleotides long. RefSeq lists it as uncharacterized. The record is from RefSeq and is a predicted model, not a curated record. NCBI's taxonomy places the organism in Eukaryota, Metazoa, Chordata, Mammalia, Eulipotyphla, Talpidae. The transcript has 4 exons.
AAGAGGAUAUAAAUUCUAUGUCUGAAAAAACAAAAUGAAGGCAGAUGAUUACCACAGAACUCAGUGUACCAAACAUGCAUAUAAAUGACUCACAGGGAUUCUGAAAACACUGCACAUCCCUCAACAGUCAUCUACAUAGGUCUCAGUAAAAAUGAGAUGAAGGAUUCCAUCACAAAGGCCUCAUUGCACCAUCUCAGAUGUACCAAUACAGCUUUGCAUCCUCUCACAGCUGUAAAUCUAGUAGUGAAUACAAUUGCAUGGCCUCCCUGGUGGUACAAGGGGUUAAGACGCAACCUAUGAAGCUGUCCGCAGCCUCUGCAGCACGAGUUCCAUCCCUGACCAGGGAGCAACCCACAUGGCGCAGCAGACCUCUCCUGACUCACCCGCUGCUCCCUC